RNAcentral lists this ribosomal RNA (533 nucleotides) under uncultured Iodophanus. RNAcentral's name for it is "SSU rRNA". It matches the Rfam family "Eukaryotic small subunit ribosomal RNA", at positions 218 to 755 of the family's 1831-position model. Lineage: Eukaryota; Fungi; Ascomycota; Pezizomycetes; Pezizales; Pezizaceae. The record is from RNAcentral.
AAAACCAAUGCGGGCAACCGCUUUUCUGGUGAUUCAUAGUAACUUAACGAAUCGCAUAGCCUUGUGCUGGCGAUGGUUCAUUCAAAUUUCUGCCCUAUCAACUUUCGAUGGUAGGAUAUAGGCCUACCAUGGUUUCAACGGGUAACGGGGAAUUAGGGUUCUAUUCCGGAGAGGGAGCCUGAGAAACGGCUACCACAUCCAAGGAAGGCAGCAGGCGCGCAAAUUACCCAAUCCCGACACGGGGAGGUAGUGACAAUAAAUACUGAUACAGGGGGCUUCUGUCUCUUGUAAUUGGAAUGAGUACAAUUUAAAUCUCUUAACGAGGAACAAUUGGAGGGCAAGUCUGGUGCCAGCAGCCGCGGUAAUUCCAGCUCCAAUAGCGUAUAUUAAGUUGUUGCAGUUAAAAAGCUCGUAGUUGAACCUUGGGCCUGGCCGGCCGGUCUGCCUCACCGCAUGCACUGGUUUGGCCGGGCCUUUCCUUCUGGCUAACCGCAUGCCCUUUACUGGGUGUGUUGGGGAACCAGGACUUUUAC